This is a long non-coding RNA of Homo sapiens (human), 400 nucleotides long. NCBI's taxonomy places the organism in Eukaryota, Metazoa, Chordata, Mammalia, Primates, Hominidae. The record is from Ensembl.
AACUCGGCAUCCUGGACACCACCACCCCGCACCUUUCCACAGUGCAGCUCUGCUCGUGCCUGUGAAGCCUCCCACAGCCUGGGAAGGAAAAUCCAGACUUGCCAGACCUUGCCUCAGCCAGGCCUUGGAAGCCUGCCAGCUUACCUAACCAGACCCUCAGCCCAUGGAGUCCUGUGUGAUGUUGUGAGCGUGGGAGGACAGACUGAACUGCUCGGCCCGUGGAGUCCUGUGUGAUGUUCUCAACGGCAGCUAAAGCCACUGCAUACAAUGCAAGGACUGGCUCCUGUUUGGCCACGACUGAUUGCAGCCCCUGGUGAAAUGAGAACCCUGUGGGUCGGAACAAAGUUUGGAUUAUUUAUGUUGCAAGUAACUAAAAUCUCAAGUGAAACUGGUUUAAACA